GACGAACGCUGGCGGCGUGCCUAAUACAUGCAAGUAGAACGCACAGUUUAUACCGUAGCUUGCUACACCAUAAACUGCGAGUUGCGAACGGGUGGGUAACGCGUAGGUAACCUGCCUGGUAGCGGGGGAUAACUAUUGGAAACGAUAGCUAAUACCGCAUAAUAUUAAUUAUUGCAUGAUAAUUGAUUGAAAGAUGCAAUUGCAUCACUACCAGAUGGACCUGCGUUGUAUUAGCUAGUAGGUGAGGUAACGGCUCACCUAGGCGACGAUACAUAGCCGACCUGAGAGGGUGAUCGGCCACACUGGGACUGAGACACGGCCCAGACUCCUACGGGAGGCAGCAGUAGGGAAUCUUCGGCAAUGGACGAAAGUCUGACCGAGCAACGCCGCGUGAGUGAAGAAGGUUUUCGGAUCGUAAAGCUCUGUUGUAAGAGAAGAACGGGUGUGAGAGUGGAAAGUUCACACUGUGACGGUAUCUUACCAGAAAGGGACGGCUAACUACGUG
This 505-nucleotide ribosomal RNA is filed under the name uncultured bacterium. RNAcentral describes it as "partial 16S ribosomal RNA". It matches the Rfam family "Bacterial small subunit ribosomal RNA", at positions 28 to 507 of the family's 1533-position model. The record is from RNAcentral.